This is a long non-coding RNA of Trichoplusia ni (cabbage looper), 1443 nucleotides long. RefSeq lists it as uncharacterized. NCBI's taxonomy places the organism in Eukaryota, Metazoa, Arthropoda, Insecta, Lepidoptera, Noctuidae. The record is from RefSeq and is a predicted model, not a curated record. The transcript is spliced from 2 exons.
UUCCAACGAUUCUUGGUAAAGUUUAAUAAGGCACCGUGACACUAUGUUUCCGGUCUGACCUGAUGCAGUCAUUAGCUUUGGCAUACCACGACAACGUCGUGCAAAAUUCUACGACCCCCUGUCUGUAUGAAUUUAUAAAUAAUCCCGGUACGCCAGUGGCGGCGGCGGUGUGGCAGACCGCGGACGGCGCGGGCGCGCGAUCCGUAAUGAGCGCCCGCCCUAAACGACUCUUGCGAUUCGACCACAGCUCCUAGCUAAGUCAUAGAAACAACGCUACGAUUUCCAUCUAAAGUCGCGUUUACAUAGCUUAUACACAAGUGAUCGUCGCGAGUGCAAAAGCUGGUUUUAAAAGUAACUAGUGUUUUAAUAUCAUUAAUAUCUAUGAAGGAAAAGUUUGUUUCAGUGCAAAAGUGUACAUGUGUUUCUCCUACAAUCAACUUUUAAACUCAAACAGGUUUUGAAUGUCGUAAAAUGAAAAAAAAAACUUUCGUUUUGAUAAUGUCUUCGGUGUAUUCAGUUGACCGGUCACCGAGAUUUUUGCUCCGGUGUCAGCUUGAUUAAGCGCAGACGUGCCACUUCCAAUUUGCAGAAGAAUAAAUUGUCGUUUGUUCGAGCACUUGCAAAAGUAUUUUUGUAUUUGCGAAGAUAUCUUGAUAAUAUUUACCUCUUUUUUCGCUUAUAUUGCGGAUCAUGUUUUCAUUUUUUUAUCGUUGAAGAUGAAUUACUGCGGGUGAAUGCAUUUGAAAUUCUAAUUUUAUCUGGCUAUAGUUCCUUUACAAAAAGACUAGACAGUGUCCACGAAUACAACGAGACGGCUAAUAGGACUAAUCAGCUGUCAGCAUGACUGCUCAUUUAGUUGGAGAAUUUGACUUUCAGUGAUGAACAUGUCUUAUUAUUUAAAAAAUAAUAAUGCUCUAGUGUUCAGUGCCAAUUAUUCUGUGCUCGUCUGUCUAGACAUGUUUUUGUUAAAGUGUAUUGUGUAACAAGUGCCUAAAUAACACGUAAAAAUGAUGCAAGGUUUGUUGGACUCGCUCUACAAAAUAUACUCAGGUAAGUUUUCAUGGACUUUUUUUGGUUUUUAUCAUUCAACGUUUAAAGUUAUUAUUCGGUUAUGACUGUAAGUGUUACCUAACACCUGUCUCUCACUAUAUUGCUUGUCUACUAAUUUCCAUGAUCUGUCUACUCAGUUAUAUUCAACUGUGACUGUACAAUACAAAUGAGGGUAUUAUGCGCAGAUGACCUCGGUCAAAUUACGAGUAAUUUUCGCAUGAAUUUACUCAACGACCCGUUGUUUGAGAGUUGCGUAAUACUAAUUUAACCUGCGGGUAAUCUACUAGAUCAAUUUAAUAUGACGACAAAGAAAUAUGACAUUAUCUUUGACAUUUCAAUUUGGUAUUCACCGGCUCUAUUUUUUUCCGAUGCGAGUGUAGUUCACGGUUUAAU